AUUGAACGCUGGCGGCAGGCCUAACACAUGCAAGUCGAGCGGCUGACGGGAGCUUGCUCCUUGAUACAGCGGCGGACGGGUGAGUAAUGCCUAGGAAUCUGCCUGGUAGUGGGUGACAACGUUUCGAAAGGAACGCUAAUACCGCAUACGUCCUACGGGAGAAAGCAUGGGACCUUCGGGCCUUGCGCCAUCAGAUGAGCCUAGGUCGGAUUAGCUGGUUGGUGAGGUAAUGGCUCACCAAGGCGACGAUCCGUAACUGGUCUGAGAGGAUGAUCAGUCACACUGGAACUGGGACACGGUCCAGACUCCUACGGGAGGCAGCAGUGGGGAAUAUUGGACAAUGGGCGAAAGCCUGAUCCAGCCAUACCGCGUGUGUGAAGAAGGUCUUCGGAUUGUAAAGCACUUUAAGUUGGGAGGAAAGGGUGUAGAUUAAUACUCUGCUAUUCUGACGUUACCGACAGAAUAAGCACCGGCUAACUCUGUG
RNAcentral lists this ribosomal RNA (484 nucleotides) under uncultured bacterium. RNAcentral describes it as "partial 16S ribosomal RNA". It matches the Rfam family "Bacterial small subunit ribosomal RNA", at positions 30 to 507 of the family's 1533-position model. The record is from RNAcentral.